Molecule: ribosomal RNA, 331 nt
Filed under: Campoletis flavicincta
Lineage: Eukaryota; Metazoa; Arthropoda; Insecta; Hymenoptera; Ichneumonidae
Also listed under: 1 other name
Description: partial 16S ribosomal RNA
Source: RNAcentral
GGUUUUUUGAUUAUAAUAAAAAAUUUAACCUGCUCAAUGAAAUAUUAAAUAGCUGCAGUAUAUUGACUGUACAAAGGUAGCAUAAUCAAUAGUUUUUUAAUUGAAAGCUGGAAUGAAUGGUUUGAUGAAAUAAAAUCUUUUUUUAAUUUAAAAAAUUUAGAAUUUUUUUGUUAGUUAAAAAACUAAUAUAUUUUUAAAAGACGAGAAGACCCUAUAGAGUUUAUUAAUUGGGGUGAUUUUUAAAAGUUAAUAAACUUUAAUUUAUUAUAAUUUCAAAAAUUAUUGUAUUUAAAGAUCUUUAAUUUAAAUUACCUUAGGGAUAACAGUGUAA